UACGAAGGGGGCUAGCGUUGCUCGGAAUCACUGGGCGUAAAGCGCACGUAGGCGGAUCUUUAAGUCAGGGGUGAAAUCCCGGAGCUCAACUCCGGAACUGCCUUUGAUACAGCACGUCUUGAGUCCGGAAGAGGUGGGUGGAAUUCCUAGUGUAGAGGUGAAAUUCGUAGAUAUUAGGAAGAACACCGGUGGCGAAGGCGGCCCACUGGUCCGGUACUGACGCUGAGGUGCGAAAGCGUGGGGAGCAAACAGG
Molecule: ribosomal RNA, 253 nt
Filed under: uncultured bacterium
Lineage: Bacteria
Description: partial 16S ribosomal RNA
Rfam family: Bacterial small subunit ribosomal RNA
Source: RNAcentral